CAUAAGCAGCAGAGUAAUGCUGUUUUACUUAAUACAGAACAAAAAGGUGAAAUUAAAUAUUGUCUGCAUUUUAACUAUAUACUUCUCCUCUGAGACCUACAGCAUUUCCUGUUUGUAGGAAAUCAGGGCUUAGAACAGUGAUAGAGCCUAAUUUUUCUGGGAUACCUUGUAAUUCAAGGGAUAUGGCUUGGGUUUGUUUUUUCCCAUCCUUUAAACACUGCCUGGUUCAGCCUCUCUCCCCAACUCUUCACUGAGACAAUGAGCCAGCAGUUGACUGAUUUUGAGGUUCGUUAAUUUACUUUAAUCCUAUCAAUGUAAUCCAUUUUGAUCAAACUCAAUUAGACUGCAAUUAGACUUUAUGGCAUUGUGCCUGUAUCUCACCUCCGGCCCGUGUGGAAAGGAUUUCUGCAGCCGGGGUUGUCACAUCUGCUUCCAGCGCAGCAGGUAUCAGGUUUGGGGCUGAAGUACUUGCAAAGGCUGUGAGAGAAAGGAAGAAACGUGGGAACAAGAGAGAAAGAGCGCUCAGGCUCUGCCCACAGCACUCACAGCUCCCGCCUGCCUGCUGGCACCACAUCCAUGGACAAACACGAGCUGCACUGAGAGAUGCUCAUUUGGCAGCAUUUUUUGGCUUCUCCACUGAAGUCCUGUCCCAACCACGUCUAUCUGACCUGCUGCAUGUUCUGUAAACGCCCUCAACCUGUCUGUGGUGUAACUGGGAUUUCUGAUGUCCUGCUCUCCUCUGCGGUGGUGGUGGAAGGCAGGGAGGCUGAAAGAGUGAGAAAUUAAGUGGCUGCAAGCAGCAAUAAAACCUGUGUUAAAACCUUAAGGAAAAAUGGUUUCGGGAACCAGCUUUUGAUUUCUGUGUUGCAUAUAAUAAAACAUACACUCGUGAUUCUAUACGGUAGAAAAAUGCAUUUUAACACUUGCUCUUCUGUGGAUUAUGAAGAGCAUAAUUAACACCUAGAAAUCCCAAGAAACAGUAAUACAGUCUGUACUUUCAGGUUUUCAGGAUAUUAUGAUUAUUUCAGAAAAAAAAAAA
Zonotrichia albicollis (white-throated sparrow) is the source of this 1039-nucleotide non-coding RNA. The record is from RefSeq and is a predicted model, not a curated record. NCBI's taxonomy places the organism in Eukaryota, Metazoa, Chordata, Aves, Passeriformes, Passerellidae.